This 253-nucleotide ribosomal RNA is filed under the name uncultured bacterium. Its description in RNAcentral is "partial 16S ribosomal RNA". It matches the Rfam family "Bacterial small subunit ribosomal RNA", at positions 524 to 776 of the family's 1533-position model. The record is from RNAcentral.
GACAGAGGUGCCGAGCGUUAGACGGAAUCACUGGGCUUAAAGCGUGUGUAGGCGGGCCGUUACGUAUCUUGUGAAAUCCCCCGGCUCAACCGGGGAAUGGCUGGAUAUACUGGCGGUCUUGAGCGAUCUAGGGGCAGAUGGAACAAGUGGUGGAGCGGUGAAAUGCGUAGAUAUCACUUGGAACGCCAAAGGUGAAAACAGUCUGCUGGGGAUCUGCUGACGCUGAGACACGAAAGCCAGGGGAGCGAACGGG